CUUCCUAAUAAAAUCACAACAUACACAAGCUAUAAUUCAAUAGUGUACUCGUAGUUUAGAUAAAUCUACAAAUCUACCUCUGGUAUUAGUAGGAUAUUUUAGGUAAAAAAAACCAACUCACUUUUUGGCUUUCUUGAAGUACCUCAUGUUUAUCAACUAGAAAAUAUCUAAUAUCAAAAUACUCCAGUAUAUUCUGUAAAUAACUUCUCAGCAUGCAUGGUCAAUAGAAAUGUCAUGACCUAAAGCCCAUAUUCCUCUGCUACAUUUGGUUUGCUAAUGUCACCGCUGGCCAUUCAUGCACAUGCUAAGGUCCUAGCGCUCUAUCAGAUGUCAAUCACUAACUAGAUGCUGAUAAGAUGUUCGGGGUGUGCUAAUAAUAGUAACUGUGUGAAAUUUGAGAGCUUUCAACAGCAGAUCACUGCUUUAGGAACAGAUGCAAAAUGUGGUCGCAAAUUUAAUUUAAGAUCAACGCUGCAUGUGUACUUUAUGAAGGUGAACAGAAAUAUUGUUUGGAAAUUGCAGUUGCAAACUUCGCAGGAUGCUUGCAUCAAGGUGAUGAUGAUUGGCAGUGACAAAAUAUUUUGCCUUGUGGAUUUUGGUUUGAAAUCACUGCAUUUGAAUUGUUUGCUGGUCAGGUGGAUGGGUAGCAUUAAUUUGGACAGAGCUUGAUCGAGAUGAAAGAUGCUUGAAGAUUAAGAUUCUAUAGAAGAUCUGGACAUCCCCCCUGGGAGGAAAUCAAUGAGGCCACAGAAAAGUUCAAAAGCCAUCCAGCCAGUCACACAGUAUGAACAGAAGAUAAACAGAACAGAACAUGUCAACCAUGUAUCGAAGACCGAAUUAAGUGAAAGUGCUUUCUGGAAAAUGCAGCUCUACUUGGGAACUCCAUCCUGAAUUUGAUGGAUGCGAGCUUUAUGUUUUUAGUAAUUAUAAAAUCAUAUGCACUGAGACAAUUAUUAAUAUAGUUAAAUUUUUAAUUAUAUAAACAUCUAAUCCAAUUACAAACUAAACUUGAUAUUUAAUAUAAAAAGAAAUAUUAAUAAAUUGGUAUUCUUAAUUACAUGCCUAUGUAUGUCUAAGCUGUUAUUUUGAAUUGUA
This is a long non-coding RNA of Magallana angulata, 1095 nucleotides long. RefSeq lists it as uncharacterized. The record is from RefSeq and is a predicted model, not a curated record. NCBI's taxonomy places the organism in Eukaryota, Metazoa, Mollusca, Bivalvia, Ostreida, Ostreidae. The transcript is spliced from 3 exons.